GAUGAACGCUGGCGGCGUGCCUAAUACAUGCAAGUCGAGCGAACGGACGAGAAGCUUGCUUCUCUGAUGUUAGCGGCGGACGGGUGAGUAACACGUGGAUAACCUACCUAUAAGACUGGGAUAACUUCGGGAAACCGGAGCUAAUACCGGAUAAUAUUUUGAACCGCAUGGUUCAAAAGUGAAAGACGGUCUUGCUGUCACUUAUAGAUGGAUCCGCGCUGCAUUAGCUAGUUGGUAAGGUAACGGCUUACCAAGGCAACGAUGCAUAGCCGACCUGAGAGGGUGAUAGGCCACACUGGAAAUGAGACACGGUCCAGACUCCUACGGGAGGCAGCAGUAGGGAAUCUUCCGCAAUGGGCGAAAGCCUGACGGAGCAACGCCGCGUGAGUGAUGAAGGUCUUCGGAUCGUAAAACUCUGUUAUUAGGGAAGAACAUAUGUGUAAGUAACUGUGCACAUCUUGACGGUACCUAAUCAGAAAGCCACGGCUAACUACGUG
This 497-nucleotide ribosomal RNA is filed under the name uncultured bacterium. RNAcentral describes it as "partial 16S ribosomal RNA". It matches the Rfam family "Bacterial small subunit ribosomal RNA", at positions 28 to 507 of the family's 1533-position model. The record is from RNAcentral.